This 900-nucleotide ribosomal RNA is filed under the name uncultured bacterium. RNAcentral's name for it is "bacterial SSU rRNA". It matches the Rfam family "Bacterial small subunit ribosomal RNA", at positions 28 to 923 of the family's 1533-position model. The record is from RNAcentral.
AUUGUCCGCUUGGCGGCAGGCUUACACAUGCAAGUCGAGCGGUAGAGAGAAGCUUGCUUCUCUUGAGAGCGGCGGACGGGUGAGUAAUGCCUAGGAAUCUGCCUGGUAGUGGGGGAUAACGUUCGGAAACGAACGCUAAUACCGCAUACGUCCUACGGGAGAAAGCAGGGGACCUUCGGGCCUUGCGCUAUCAGAUGAGCCUAGGUCGGAUUAGCUAGUUGGUGAGGUAAUGGCUCACCAAGGCGACGAUCCGUAACUGGUCUGAGAGGAUGAUCAGUCACACUGGAACUGAGACACGGUCCAGACUCCUACGGGAGGCAGCAGUGGGGAAUAUUGGACAAUGGGCGAAAGCCUGAUCCAGCCAUGCCGCGUGUGUGAAGAAGGUCUUCGGAUUGUAAAGCACUUUAAGUUGGGAGGAAGGGCAUUAACCUAAUACGUUAGUGUUUUGACGUUACCGACAGAAUAAGCACCGGCUAACUCUGUGCCAGCAGCCGCGGUAAUACAGAGGGUGCAAGCGUUAAUCGGAAUUACUGGGCGUAAAGCGCGCGUAGGUGGUUUGUUAAGUUGGAUGUGAAAUCCCCGGGCUCAACCUGGGAACUGCAUUCAAAACUGACUGACUAGAGUAUGGUAGAGGGUGGUGGAAUUUCCUGUGUAGCGGUGAAAUGCGUAAAUAUAGGAAGGAACACCAGUGGCGAAGGCGACCACCUGGACUAAUACUGACACUGAGGUGCGAAAGCGUGGGGAGCAAACAGGAUUAGAUACCCUGGUAGUCCACGCCGUAAACGAUGUCAACUAGCCGUUGGAAGCCUUGAGCUUUUAGUGGCGCAGCUAACGCAUUAAGUUGACCGCCUGGGGAGUACGGCCGCAAGGUUAAAACUCAAAUGAUUUGACGGAAGGGCG